Jackrogersella minutella is the source of this 97-nucleotide non-coding RNA. The record is from the annotation of a GenBank genome assembly. Lineage: Eukaryota; Fungi; Ascomycota; Sordariomycetes; Xylariales; Hypoxylaceae.
GCCCGACUAGCUCACCGGUAGAGCGCCUCACUAGUACUCUUAUCCUGAUAAAGGAUUGGUCAUGAGGAGGCAACAGGUUCGACUCCUGUGUUGGGCA